AGUGAACGCUGGCGGUAGGCCUAACACAUGCAAGUCGAACGGCAGCACAGUAAGAGCUUGCUCUUACGGGUGGCGAGUGGCGGACGGGUGAGGAAUACAUCGGAAUCUACUUUUUCGUGGGGGAUAACGUAGGGAAACUUACGCUAAUACCGCAUACGACCUACGGGUGAAAGCAGGGGAUCUUCGGACCUUGCGCGAUUGAAUGAGCCGAUGUCGGAUUAGCUAGUUGGCGGGGUAAAGGCCCACCAAGGCGACGAUCCGUAGCUGGUCUGCGAGGAUGUUCAGCCACACUGGAACUGAGACACGGUCCAGACUCCUACGGGAGGCAGCAGUGGGGAAUAUUGGACAAUGGGCGCAAGCCUGAUCCAGCCAUACCGCGUGGGUGAAGAAGGCCUUCGGGUUGUAAAGCCCUUUUGUUGGGAAAGAAAAGCAGCAGGUUAAUACCCCGCUGUUCUGACGGUACCCAAAGAAUAAGCACCGGCUAACUUCGUG
RNAcentral lists this ribosomal RNA (492 nucleotides) under uncultured bacterium. RNAcentral's name for it is "partial 16S ribosomal RNA". It matches the Rfam family "Bacterial small subunit ribosomal RNA", at positions 29 to 507 of the family's 1533-position model. The record is from RNAcentral.